GUAGGUGAACCUGCGGAAGGAUCAUUAAUAGAGCAAUGAAUAGUCAGCGCCCUGGGAGCAAUCCUGGGGGCCACCCUCCUCGGAGGGUUUAGAGACGUCGCGCCUCUCGGAGAAGCGCGGUUCAGACCUCCACCCUUGAAUAAAUUACCUUUGUUGCUUUGGCAGGACGCCUCGUGCCAGCGGCUUCGGCUGUUGAGUGCCUGCCAGAGGACCACAACUCUUGAGUUAAUAUUGUCUGAGUACUAUAUAAUAGUUAAAACUUUCAACAACGGAUCUCUUGGUUCUG
This 286-nucleotide unclassified non-coding RNA is filed under the name rhizosphere metagenome. RNAcentral describes it as "partial ribosomal RNA internal transcribed spacer region". The record is from RNAcentral.